AAUGGGUCAGCGACUUAUAUUCUGUAGCAAGGUUAACCGAAUAGGGGAGCCGAAGGGAAACCGAGUCUUAACUGGGCGUUAAGUUGCAGGGUAUAGACCCGAAACCCGGUGAUCUAGCCAUGGGCAGGUUGAAGGUUGGGUAACACUAACUGGAGGACCGAACCGACUAAUGUUGAAAAAUUAGCGGAUGACUUGUGGCUGGGGGUGAAAGGCCAAUCAAACCGGGAGAUAGCUGGUUCUCCCCGAAAGCUAUUUAGGUAGCGCCUCGUGAAUUCAUCUCCGGGGGUAGAGCACUGUUUCGGCAAGGGGGUCAUCCCGACUUACCAACCCGAUGCAAACUGCGAAUACCGGAGAAUGUUAUCACGGGAGACACACGGCGGGUGCUAACGUCCGUCGUGAAGAGGGAAACAACCCAGACCGCCAGCUAAGGUCCCAAAGUCAUGGUUAAGUGGGAAACGAUGUGGGAAGGCCCAGACAGCCAGGAUGUUGGCUUAGAAGCAGCCAUCAUUUAAAGAAAGCGUAAUAGCUCACUGGUCGAGUCGGCCUGCGCGGAAGAUGUAACGGGGCUAAACCAUGCACCGAAGCUGCGGCAGCGACGCUUAUGCGUUGUUGGGUAGGGGAGCGUUCUGUAAGCCUGUGAAGGUGUGCUGUGAGGCAUGCUGGAGGUAUCAGAAGUGCGAAUGCUGACAUAAGUAACGAUAAAGCGGGUGAAAAGCCCGCUCGCCGGAAGACCAAGGGUUCCUGUCCAACGUUAAUCGGGGCAGGGUGAGUCGACCCCUAAGGCGAGGCCGAAAGGCGUAGUCGAUGGGAAACAGGUUAAUAUUCCUGUACUUGGUGUUACUGCGAAGGGGGGACGGAGAAGGCUAUGUUGGCCGGGCGACGGUUGUCCCGGUUUAAGCGUGUAGGCUGGUUUUCCAGGCAAAUCCGGAAAAUCAAGGCUGAGGCGUGAUGACGAGGCACUACGGUGCUGAAGCAACAAAUGCCCUGCUUCCAGGAAAAGCCUCUAAGCAUCAGGUAACAUCAAAUCGUACCCCAAACCGACACAGGUGGUCAGGUAGAGAAUACCAAGGCGCUUGAGAGAACUCGGGUGAAGGAACUAGGCAAAAUGGUGCCGUAACUUCGGGAGAAGGCACGCUGAUAUGUAGGUGAAGUCCCUCGCGGAUGGAGCUGAAAUCAGUCGAAGAUACCAGCUGGCUGCAACUGUUUAUUAAAAACACAGCACUGUGCAAACACGAAAGUGGACGUAUACGGUGUGACGCCUGCCCGGUGCCGGAAGGUUAAUUGAUGGGGUCAGCGCAAGCGAAGCUCUUGAUCGAAGCCCCGGUAAACGGCGGCCGUAACUAUAACGGUCCUAAGGUAGCGAAAUUCCUUGUCGGGUAAGUUCCGACCUGCACGAAUGGCGUAAUGAUGGCCAGGCUGUCUCCACCCGAGACUCAGUGAAAUUGAACUCGCUGUGAAGAUGCAGUGUACCCGCGGCAAGACGGAAAGACCCCGUGAACCUUUACUAUAGCUUGACACUGAACAUUGAGCCUUGAUGUGUAGGAUAGGUGGGAGGCUUAGAAGUGUGGACGCCAGUCUGCAUGGAGCCGACCUUGAAAUACCACCCUUUAAUGUUUGAUGUUCUAACGUUGACCCGUAAUCCGGGUUGCGGACAGUGUCUGGUGGGUAGUUUGACUGGGGCGGUCUCCUCCUAAAGAGUAACGGAGGAGCACGAAGGUUGGCUAAUCCUGGUCGGACAUCAGGAGGUUAGUGCAAUGGCAUAAGCCAGCUUGACUGCGAGCGUGACGGCGCGAGCAGGUGCGAAAGCAGGUCAUAGUGAUCCGGUGGUUCUGAAUGGAAGGGCCAUCGCUCAACGGAUAAAAGGUACUCCGGGGAUAACAGGCUGAUACCGCCCAAGAGUUCAUAUCGACGGCGGUGUUUGGCACCUCGAUGUCGGCUCAUCACAUCCUGGGGCUGAAGUAGGUCCCAAGGGUAUGGCUGUUCGCCAUUUAAAGUGGUACGCGAGCUGGGUUUAGAACGUCGUGAGACAGUUCGGUCCCUAUCUGCCGUGGGCGCUGGAGAACUGAGGGGGGCUGCUCCUAGUACGAGAGGACCGGAGUGGACGCAUCACUGGUGUUCGGGUUGUCAUGCCAAUGGCACUGCCCGGUAGCUAAAUGCGGAAGAGAUAAGUGCUGAAAGCAUCUAAGCACGAAACUUGCCCCGAGAUGAGUUCUCCCUGACUCCUUGAGAGUCCUGAAGGAACGUUGAAGACGACGACGUUGAUAGGCCGGGUGUGUAAGCGCAGCGAUGC
RNAcentral lists this ribosomal RNA (2290 nucleotides) under Escherichia coli. RNAcentral's name for it is "partial 23S ribosomal RNA". It matches the Rfam family "Bacterial large subunit ribosomal RNA", at positions 614 to 2884 of the family's 2925-position model. The record is from RNAcentral. Lineage: Bacteria; Pseudomonadati; Pseudomonadota; Gammaproteobacteria; Enterobacterales; Enterobacteriaceae.